AAGAAAGAAGACCGUACAAGUCAGAGCGUGUGGGGAGAAGUUGCAGCGGAAAAAUGAAUCACUUGGUCUCAAUUCUGUCUAAUUUUUUUGGACAAGUCUGGACAAAGGUUGUUAGCAGCCCUGGGGACAUUCUGCCGUCUGUCCAGACAAAGGUAUUGAAGUGAGGGUCGAACACUUCAACGGUGAUCAGCUCGGUUUCUUUGGUCUCUCCUCCGAGGACGUAGAUCAGACCGUCCAGCUCCACCACGCCAAAGUUCUGACGAGCCUACGUAUACGAGAGUGACAUGAUAAGUUCUAAAUAACAACAAUAUAUUUUCCUGUUUUA
This is a long non-coding RNA of Larimichthys crocea (large yellow croaker), 325 nucleotides long. RefSeq lists it as uncharacterized. The record is from RefSeq and is a predicted model, not a curated record. The transcript is spliced from 2 exons. NCBI's taxonomy places the organism in Eukaryota, Metazoa, Chordata, Actinopteri, Sciaenidae.